UACGAAGGGGGCUAGCGUUGUUCGGAAUUACUGGGCGUAAAGCGCACGUAGGCGGGUCGUUAAGUCAGGGGUGAAAUCCCAGGGCUCAACCCUGGAACUGCCUUUGAUACUGUCGAUCUGGAGUAUGGAAGAGGUGAGUGGAAUUCCGAGUGUAGAGGUGAAAUUCGUAGAUAUUCGGAGGAACACCAGUGGCGAAGGCGGCUCACUGGUCCAUUACUGACGCUGAGGUGCGAAAGCGUGGGGAGCAAACAGGG
RNAcentral lists this ribosomal RNA (254 nucleotides) under uncultured bacterium. RNAcentral's name for it is "partial 16S ribosomal RNA". It matches the Rfam family "Bacterial small subunit ribosomal RNA", at positions 524 to 777 of the family's 1533-position model. The record is from RNAcentral.